UGGCAUCACUGACUCAAUGGGAAUGAGUUUGAGCAAACUCUGGGAGAUGGUGAAGGACAGGGAAGCCUGGUAUGCUGUAGUCCAUGGGAUUGCAAAGAGUCGCUGAGCUACUGAACCACAAUAACAACUCUGUUGCCUAAGGAGAGAGUUCACGUCGCUGAAAAUAUGAGUGAGAACAGAGCUCCUGCCUGUGGUGAACAAUUCAGUCCUUGUGGACAGGACUCCAUGAAUCAGACAAUGCUUUUGGAUGAGCUGAGUUGAAGAUGCAUCCUGGUCUGUGUUGGUGAUGUGGCACUAGCUUUCAUAGGCUCCAGAAUUCAAUAAGCUCCUCUUCAUGAUGCCUGGCAUAUCACGAGAGCUUGAUGAGUAUUUGUUGAGUUGUUGGGAAAUAUAUGGGAAGACGCUGCCCAGGGCCUGGUGCUUGGUAAGCGCAGUAAAGGUGCACAGCAUGAGCAUUUCGCUGGACCCAUGAUGCAGUCACUAGCCAUUCUCUUCAGAGUAUUCGAAGCCCCACCUACUCCCUUGCCUUCUGUGGAGCAGCUCACGUGGCCCUUCUGGAACACCCUUGGACCUGCCGACUCAAAGGGCUGAAUAGUUCAGGAUGUUUCCUGCUUUCAGAGCCUUAAAGGCCCUAAUGUAACCUCUUUAUUUGACACAUAGAAGAUCUCGAAGAGAUUUUGUGACUCAUGCCUCACUGCUUCUACUAGCUUCUUUUUUUUUUAAGAUUUUUACAUUAAAAAUUUUUUUUAUCAUGCCACAGAGCAGGUGGGAUCUUAGUUCCUGA
Molecule: long non-coding RNA, 784 nt
Organism: Cervus elaphus (red deer)
Lineage: Eukaryota; Metazoa; Chordata; Mammalia; Artiodactyla; Cervidae
Exons: 3
Source: RefSeq, a predicted model, not a curated record